RNAcentral lists this non-coding RNA (357 nucleotides) under Felis catus (domestic cat). Its description in RNAcentral is "Eukaryotic small subunit ribosomal RNA". It matches the Rfam family "Eukaryotic small subunit ribosomal RNA", at positions 1177 to 1593 of the family's 1831-position model. Lineage: Eukaryota; Metazoa; Chordata; Mammalia; Carnivora; Felidae. The record is from Rfam by way of RNAcentral.
UACAGCUCCCAGCUUCACAUCAUCAUACCACCAGGUCAGAAAGGAAGAAGGGAAGGAGAGGGUAGUGUUGUACUGCUGUUAGUUGGAGAAGCGAUUUGUCUGGUUAAUUUCAAUAAAGAAUGAGACUCUGGCAUGCUAACUAGUGCCCCCCGAGAGCCGUUGGCGUCCUCCAAGUUUUUAGCGGGCCUGGUGACAUCCAGCCACCUGAGACUGAGCCAUAGCAGGUUUGUGAUGUUCUUAGCUGUCCAGGGUCACGCAUUGCACUGCUUGGCUCAGCGUGUGCCUACCCUACCCCGGCAGGCACAGGUAAGCCACUGAAUCCCAUUUGUGAUGGGGAUCCCAAAUUGACUAAAGGAA